GAUUAAAGAGCACAUUGAUUAUUUUUGUUAAGAACUGGUGUGACUGACAAAAUAAUCAAACAAUUACACAUAAAGUGCUACAUAUUCCUUGUUUUGAUGUAUAAGGAUUGGUUUUUAAUAAUAGAAAUAGAUGAGUUUUUUACUA
Molecule: non-coding RNA, 145 nt
Organism: Gossypium arboreum
Lineage: Eukaryota; Viridiplantae; Streptophyta; Magnoliopsida; Malvales; Malvaceae
Source: Rfam